AUGUAACAAAAAAAAAAAAACCAAAAUAUU
RNAcentral lists this small RNA (30 nucleotides) under Arabidopsis thaliana (thale cress). Its description in RNAcentral is "ATSL111720". The record is from RNAcentral. Lineage: Eukaryota; Viridiplantae; Streptophyta; Magnoliopsida; Brassicales; Brassicaceae.